This 484-nucleotide ribosomal RNA is filed under the name uncultured bacterium. RNAcentral describes it as "partial 16S ribosomal RNA". It matches the Rfam family "Bacterial small subunit ribosomal RNA", at positions 30 to 507 of the family's 1533-position model. The record is from RNAcentral.
AUUGAACGCUGGCGGCAUGCUUUACACAUGCAAGUCGAACGGCAGCACGGGCUUCGGCCUGGUGGCGAGUGGCGAACGGGUGAGUAAUAUAUCGGAACGUACCCAGCAGUGGGGGAUAACGUAGCGAAAGUUACGCUAAUACCGCAUACGAUCUAUGGAUGAAAGCAGGGGACCGCAAGGCCUUGUGCUCCUGGAGCGGCCGAUAUCUGAUUAGCUAGUUGGUGAGGUAAAGGCUCACCAAGGCGACGAUCAGUAGCUGGUCUGAGAGGACGACCAGCCACACUGGAACUGAGACACGGUCCAGACUCCUACGGGAGGCAGCAGUGGGGAAUUUUGGACAAUGGGCGCAAGCCUGAUCCAGCAAUGCCGCGUGAGUGAAGAAGGCCUUCGGGUUGUAAAGCUCUUUUGUCAGGGAAGAAACGGUAGAGGCUAGUAUCCUUUGCUAAUGACGGUACCUGAAGAAUAAGCACCGGCUAACUACGUG